CAAUAGCGUAUAUUAAAGUUGUUGCGGUUAAAAAGCUCGUAGUUGGAUUUCUGCCGAGGACGACCGGUCCGCCCUCUGGGUGUGUAUCUGGUUUGGCCUGGGCAUCUUCUUGGAGAACGUAGCUGCACUUGACUGUGUGGUGCGGUGUCCAGGACUUUUACUUUGAGGAAAUUAGAGUGUUUCAAGCAGGCACACGCCUUGAAUACAUUAGCAUGGAAUAAUAAGAUAGGACCUCGGUUCUAUUUUGUUGGUUUCUAGAGCUGAGGUAAUGAUUAAUAGGGAUAGUUGGGGGCAUUCGUAUUUAACUGUCAGAGGUGAAAUUCUUGGGUUUGUUAAAGACGGACUACUGCGAAAGCAUUUGCCAAGGAUGUUUUCAUUGA
Molecule: ribosomal RNA, 380 nt
Filed under: uncultured eukaryote
Lineage: Eukaryota
Description: partial 18S ribosomal RNA
Rfam family: Eukaryotic small subunit ribosomal RNA
Source: RNAcentral